CAGCACCUCAAGUGGUCAGGAUGAUUAUUGGGCCUAAAGCAUCCGUAGCCGGCGCUGUAAGUUUUCGGUUAUAUCUGUACGCUCAACGUACAGGCUGCCGGGAAUACUGCAGCGCUAGGGAGUGGGAGAGGUAGACGGUACUCGGUAGGAAGGGGUAAAAUCCUUUGAUCUAUUGAUGACCACCUGUGGCGAAGGCGGUCUACCAGAACACGUCCGACGGUGAGGGAUGAAAGCUGGGGGAGCAAACCGGAUUAGAUACCCGAGUAGUCC
This 270-nucleotide ribosomal RNA is filed under the name uncultured archaeon. Its description in RNAcentral is "partial 16S ribosomal RNA". It matches the Rfam family "Archaeal small subunit ribosomal RNA", at positions 477 to 747 of the family's 1478-position model. The record is from RNAcentral.